Molecule: ribosomal RNA, 1240 nt
Filed under: Cladophialophora carrionii
Lineage: Eukaryota; Fungi; Ascomycota; Eurotiomycetes; Chaetothyriales; Herpotrichiellaceae
Description: LSU rRNA
Rfam family: Eukaryotic large subunit ribosomal RNA
Source: RNAcentral
AUUGCCUCAGUAACGGCGAGUGAAGCGGCAACAGCUCAAAUUUGAAAUCUGGCCUCCGGGGUCCGAGUUGUAAUUUGUAGAGGAUGUUUUGGGUACCGCCCCGGUUUAAAUUUCUUGGAACAGAAUGUCAGAGAGGGUGAGAAUCCCGUCUUGGACCGGUGGUAGGGCCUGUGUAAAACUCCUUCGACGAGUCGAGUUGUUUGGGAAUGCAGCUCAAAAUGGGUGGUAAAUUUCAUCUAAAGCUAAAUAUUGGCCAGAGACCGAUAGCGCACAAGUAGAGUGAUCGAAAGAUGAAAAGAACUUUGAAAAGAGAGUUAAACAGUAUGUGAAAUUGUUGAAAGGGAAGCGCUUGCAACCAGACUUGAGCGCGACGGUUCCCCUAGCCUUUUGGCUAGGUUACUCCGUCGUGUCCAGGCCAACAUCGGUUCUGAGGGUCGGUCAAAGGCUCUGGGAAUGUAUCUACCCACGGGUAGACUUAUAGACCAGGGUGUCAUGCGACCUCUCGGGACCGAGGAACGCGCUUCGGCUCGGAUGUUGGCGUAAUGGUUGUCAGCGACCCGUCUUGAAACACGGACCAAGGAGUCUAACAUCUAUGCGAGUGUUUGGGUGUCAAACCCGGAACGCGAAAUGAAAGUGAACGGAGGUAGGAAGCUUCGGCUGCACUAUCGACCGAUCCUGAAGUUUACGGAUGGAUUUGAGUAAGAGCAUAGCUGUUGGGACCCGAAAGAUGGUGAACUAUGCCUGAAUAGGGUGAAGCCAGAGGAAACUCUGGUGGAGGCUCGCAGCGGUUCUGACGUGCAAAUCGAUCGUCAAAUUUGGGUAUAGGGGCGAAAGACUAAUCGAACCAUUAAGCCACUCGGUGGUUAAGUGUGACCCGAAAGGGCUCGCAAGUGCCGGAUUCUGGCGCGACACUGUCAAAUUGCGGGGACUCCCUAAAGCUCCAUGGGACCGCCCGCUCCACGAAAGUGGAGUUUUUAAGGGCACCAGGUUAACGACCUCGGGUACGGUAACACUCCUGGAGAUGCAACAAUGGGUAAUCUGCAGCCAAGUCCUACGGGCGAUCGCCUACGGAUGCAGUUCACAGACUAGAUGGCAGUGGGCUCCCCCCUUCUCGCGGGAGCUUAAGAUAUAGUCGGUCCUCUGGGGAGACCCAGGCGCAUCGCUAAACUGGAGGUGAAGAAUUCUGCCCCCGGGCAGUCACCCCCAGCCGGAACGGUGCGGGCGCCCUCGGGCGUCGGAG